Molecule: ribosomal RNA, 1343 nt
Filed under: uncultured bacterium
Lineage: Bacteria
Description: 16S ribosomal RNA
Rfam family: Bacterial small subunit ribosomal RNA
Source: RNAcentral
GACGAACGCUGGCGGCGUGCUUAACACAUGCAAGUCGAACGGAAAGGCCCUGCUUUUGUGGGGUGCUCGAGUGGCGAACGGGUGAGUAACACGUGAGUAACCUGCCCUUGACUUUGGGAUAACUUCAGGAAACUGGGGCUAAUACCGGAUAGGAGCUCCUGCUGCGUGGUGGGGGUUGGAAAGUUUCGGCGGUUGGGGAUGGACUCGCGGCUUAUCAGCUUGUUGGUGGGGUAGUGGCUUACCAAGGCUUUGACGGGUAGCCGGCCUGAGAGGGUGACCGGCCACAUUGGGACUGAGAUACGGCCCAGACUCCUACGGGAGGCAGCAGUGGGGAAUAAUGCACAAUGGGCGGAAGCCUGAUGCAGCAACGCCGCGUGCGGGAUGACGGCCUUCGGGUUGUAAACCGCUUUCGCCUGUGACGAAGCGUGAGUGACGGUAAUGGGUAAAGAAGCACCGGCUAACUACGUGCCAGCAGCCGCGGUGAUACGUAGGGUGCGAGCGUUGUCCGGAUUUAUUGGGCGUAAAGGGCUCGUAGGUGGUUGAUCGCGUCGGAAGUGUAAUCUUGGGGCUUAACCCUGAGCGUGCUUUCGAUACGGGUUGACUUGAGGAAGGUAGGGGAGAAUGGAAUUCCUGGUGGAGCGGUGGAAUGCGCAGAUAUCAGGAGGAACACCAGUGGCGAAGGCGGUUCUCUGGGCCUUUCCUGACGCUGAGGAGCGAAAGCGUGGGGAGCGAACAGGCUUAGAUACCCUGGUAGUCCACGCUGUAAACGGUGGGUACUAGGUGUGGGGUCCAUUCCACGGGUUCCGUGCCGUAGCUAACGCUUUAAGUACCCCGCCUGGGGAGUACGGCCGCAAGGCUAAAACUCAAAGGAAUUGACGGGGCCCCGCACAAGCGGCGGAGCAUGCGGAUUAAUUCGAUGCAACGCGUAGAACCUUACCUGGGUUUGACAUGGAUCGGGAGCGCUCAGAGAUGGGUGUGCCUCUUUUGGGGUCGGUUCACAGGUGGUGCAUGGCUGUCGUCAGCUCGUGUCGUGAGAUGUUGGGUUAAGUCCCGCAACGAGCGCAACCCUUGUUCACUGUUGCCAGCACGUUAUGGUGGGGACUCAGUGGAGACCGCCGGGGUCAACUCGGAGGAAGGUGGGGAUGACGUCAAGUCAUCAUGCCCCUUAUGUCCAGGGCUUCACGCAUGCUACAAUGGCUGGUACAGAGAGUGGCGAGCCUGUGAGGGUGAGCGAAUCUCGGAAAGCCGGUCUCAGUUCGGAUUGGGGUCUGCAACUCGACCUCAUGAAGUCGGAGUCGCUAGUAAUCGCAGAUCAGCAACGCUGCGGUGAAUACGUUCCCGGG